Triticum dicoccoides is the source of this 3819-nucleotide long non-coding RNA. RefSeq lists it as uncharacterized. The record is from RefSeq and is a predicted model, not a curated record. The transcript has 3 exons. NCBI's taxonomy places the organism in Eukaryota, Viridiplantae, Streptophyta, Magnoliopsida, Poales, Poaceae.
CAUUCCCCACGCGCGCCACCAUGGGCACCCGCCGCUGGCCUCUCCACCCGGCGUUCGCGCUACCCUGCCCCCCGCACUACCCUGCUGGCUUGCUGCUCCCACACGCUCAAACCCUCUGCUCAACCCCGGUGCUCUCUCCUCACCUCGUCGUCGUCACGGCGGGCACCGUGUAGAUCUGGGGCUUAAUUUGCUGCAGAUCCCAGGAGCGACGGGGCUUAACCUGCUGCAGACGGGGGAGACAGGGCGGGCGCCGUGACGGAGCACUCCCUAGAGGCGCUGGUGCUUACCUCUCGUGGAAGCUUUCAGGGUUGGGAUCCCGGCGAGCGACGUCAUCAGCUCCGGCACUUACCUCGACUCCCAGGUUCCCGUUCCUCCUUGCAAAAAGAGAGACUUGACUAGAGUAUCACCUGUUCAUCUUUCACCUUUUUUGUCCCAUCCUCCUAGAUGAGCAUGGCAGAAGAAAGUGACGAGAUUGCUACUAAGACAAGGCUGUUGUCACUUGAACUGUUGCAGGGAUUGUUACACUUGCGCCCGUGCAUACGUGCUCAUGUGCCUCCAUGUGUGGCUCUCUAAUCAGAUCCAACCACUGCCUCCCUAUACAGCAGGGGCCAAACUAUGCGCCGCCCUACGCAUAGUCGGAUCUCUAAUCAGAUGAGCUGCCUCCACUAUUGUACGCAUGUUAAGCUGGGACGAUAAAAUUGCAUGUGGCAAGUGAUUGACCAUCUACUGAUUGAUUUUGCAGAUCUGGCAAUCUGGAUAGCUAAAUAUGUUAUAUAGCGGCCUCUAUGAUUUAGGACGUCCUCUUUUUCGGGAAAUGAUUCAAGGCAUCUGAAACAUGUGGAGAAACAUAUAUAGCAUUAGAUAAUUAAUCUCACGGUUGGUCAUAUUAUGAUGCUCAGUAAACUUAAAUAAGUUAUACGGUUAACUUUUAUGUCUUUGUCGUGCUUCCCAGAAAAGAUAAUGGUAAUCGCAAUAAUAUGCCACUAUUUAUGAAGAAAAACACUUGUAUGUACUGUAUUUGCAGCACUCAGUUGCAUGGUUCUCUUGGUUCUUUAAAAUAUAUAGGUUAACUUGAGCUAAUUUCUUAGCAUGUGUAUGAGCAUAGUUACGAGGCAUCCAAAGCAAGGAGAGGUUAAUUUCUUAGCAUGUGUAUGAGCAUAGUUACAAAUGUAUGGGAUGAACAGAACAAUUUCCAAUUUGACCCGUAUUUGGUCACACAAGGUUAGCUUUUCUAUAGCUUUUAUUGAUGAAUUUGAAAAUUAUAUGAGAAAAAUAGGCGAAUGUAUGCUUCUUUAAUGCUUCUUUAAUCAUGCAUAUUGAUUAUAACAGUCUUAUGCUAUUUGAACCUUUUCACUAUGCUUUGUACAUAUAACUUAUACUAUGCGCAAAUAUAUUGUUUCCAUGUAAGAAAAAAUGAUAAAUAAAAAUUAAGUCAAAAAAUACAUACAAUGCCUUCUGAAUCUGAGCAAUAUCCCCACAAUUUUUUUCUGUAUCACAAAGAGACCACCAUGAUGAGUAUGUGUUCCAAUGAGCAAGUGGUGCUAGCGUAACUCAUGAAUAAGGGAACACUAUAUCAAGGCUGUGAAGAAGGCUACCAUCGAGACAAAGAGCGAGCACCCCAAGGGUUAAUGCGUGGCGUAGAAGGUUAUCAAAAGAACUACGUCAUUUUUUUAAAUUAAUUUCCUAGAUAAGUACACUCGCACAUGCAUCUUUGCGACAAAUAAAAACUGCACUACUCUCUCUCUCUCUCUCAUCUAAUGUUAUCAGAAGUACUAAUUGUGGAUUUCAUCGCUAUUUUCUCCAAAAACUCUAUUUAGUAUCCCUUCCAAUGUAAGUUUAUUACUAUGUGAUUAGAGAAAUAAAGAGGUAUAUGCGCAUACUGUAAGAUCAUGAUCAGUGGUGUACAGAAAUCCUAUGAAGUGAAAUACACAACGUAUUUUAUAUAUACUAUCUGUGGUUAAAUUCCAAUGUAUGUAUAUUAAGAUAUUUGUUAGAAGUGUCAUUAAUGCAAACCAUUGUGCUGUAAUACUUCACGCAGGAUAUCUAAAGGGAACUCUUUUAAAUUAUGGUCUUAUUCUACAACUAUGAUUAAGGGAGUAUGCACGGGUUGAUGAAAAUGUCGCACAAUUAAUUCUAUGUUGUAUCACCCAAUGGACAGCAGCUUCCUUGACUUUAUUUUGUUCUCAUCUAGUGGCAUGGUAUUCUGCCAUGUUCCCUUGUCUUUAUGUACAGUUUCGAUGUCCAGUGAAAAGACCAAAUCAUUUACUUAGUCGCUCUUGGCCUGUUCUGCUAUCAUGGUUUUACUGAUGUUCACAUUCCAAAUUAACAAUUAGUUGCUAGUGGGUGUUGUCCUUGCUGAAAUGCUCACUUUAUGGAUUCCAAAGCUUCUUUGUUUACAUCUGAGCGUUGGAGUGCUUCCAAUUAAAGGACUUGUAUUAUUAUGCAUGGCUAAUUAAUACACUUCUAUAACUAUGGAAUUUUGAUAUUUGUUGUACUAAAACUCCACUAUGACAACCGGUGCACAACAACAACUUUGUAAUCCAUGUGCAGCUUCUAGGUUCCGGCUUUGUAGUGUGCAUCAUAUCUAGCUAAAAAAUGUAAUGAUGUGAAACUAUGUUAGAUCUUGCUGGUGUGCUGCUUGUCAACCUUGCUAUGUUGUUGUCUGCUGAAUUCUGGGUGUACAUCGACGCAAAUGAACAUGGAAACAACUUCAGAACUAUUCUUCACAUUUUUUUUACUAAAAAUUCGAACCACUGAACAUGAUCACUUCCAUAUCUCUGAAAUGAGAAUUUACUCAAGUUUCUAUUCUGCUAGCGAUAGUUUUGUUGUCAUGUUCAUAUAAGAAAAUGCCAAAUACAAAUGGCCUUCAUUAGCAUUACUAUAUUAGCAACACAAUAUGUAGUAGCAAACCCCAACAUAAAUGAUAUCUUUAGUUCCUAUGACAGAUAUAGAUGGAUUAUUAGUUCAUAAAGCAAGCGAUACAGCAAAAAACUAAGUGUUAUGUAUUUGUGAAUCAGAAAAAGGUGAACUCUCUCUCUCUCUCUCUCUCUAGGGUCUCUUGAACAUAUUCACUUCUUCCUGCAUGAUUUCUCUCCCCUUUUUAGAUUUAUUUUUGUGUUUGCCAACUUCGUAGUUUUACUUAUAUUCCAGUGAGCUCUGUUCUAUACUGGUGUAGUUAUGUUUGUAAUGUUUUUUCUCCUUGUGUGCUGAUUUUGCAAUGGUAAUUGGUUUCUGUACUCUGCAAGCCUCAUGAUACUAAUUGAAAUAUCCUUUAUCAUGUUGCAGAUGCUUAGCAAAUGCUUUCGCUGCUACCUGUUCUUAAUCAGUUGCUACUUUUUCUUAAUCAUCCGAUUUCUUACUCCUUUCAUUUAUGUAGGAAUGGCAUGUAGGUAGUUAUCCCCCAUGGGCACAUAGACCAGGAUACAUUGUAUCUCAGGAUAUAGGAAACACAAAAGAGGUGUGCUAAAGAUGUUCAAGCUGGAGAAUGUUCUCCAAUGGGAUGAAGAACGAAGGCUUUGAUGUCAAGUGCGAGAAUGAUGAAACGAUCUUGCUGGAAAGCUGUGAGGAUGGGUAGUAGUUGCCCACUACAAGGAGCCAAGGCAGAUGAUGUUUUGCAGAAAACAAAGUGAUGAACUUUUGCUCUCAGACAAUGAACUAUCAAGUUUCCUCUAUUUAAUUAGUUACAUUAGUUUAUUUAUAGGAAACUUGGCUGCUCAUUGGUUCAUAACAAAUGAACUAUUUAUAUGUGAAAAUUAAUGAAUGUGUAUGACUAUUGUUUGGUUCUGGUUUAAUAUUGUUGAAUGAUGCAUGUUAUUGUUA